RNAcentral lists this ribosomal RNA (72 nucleotides) under Candidatus Anaerobutyricum faecale. Its description in RNAcentral is "partial 16S ribosomal RNA". It matches the Rfam family "Bacterial small subunit ribosomal RNA", at positions 1 to 72 of the family's 1533-position model. RNAcentral also lists the same sequence under 1 other name. Lineage: Bacteria; Bacillati; Bacillota; Clostridia; Lachnospirales; Lachnospiraceae. The record is from RNAcentral.
UUAUUUGAGAGUUUGAUCCUGGCUCAGGAUGAACGCUGGCGGCGUGCCUAACACAUGCAAGUCGAACGAAGC